GAUGAACGCUGGCGGCGUGCCUAAUACAUGCAAGUCGAGCGAACAGACGAGGAGCUUGCUCCUCUGACGUUAGCGGCGGACGGGUGAGUAACACGUGGAUAACCUACCUAUAAGACUGUGAUAACUUCGGGAAACCGUAGCUAAUACCGGAUAAUAUAUUGAACCGCAUGGUUCAAUAGUGAAAUACGGUUUUGCUGUCACUUAUAGAUGGAUCCGCGCCGCAUUAGCUAGUUGGUAAGGUAACGGCUUACCAAGGCAACGAUGCGUAGCCGACCUGAGAGGGUGAUCGGCCACACUGGAACUGAGACACGGUCCAGACUCCUACGGGAGGCAGCAGUAGGGAAUCUUCCGCAAUGGGCGAAAGCCUGACGGAGCAACGCCGCGUGAGUGAUGAAGGUCUUCGGAUCGUAAAACUCUGUUAUUAGGGAAGAACAAAUGUGUAAGUAACUGUGCACGUCUUGACGGUACCUAAUCAGAAAGCCACGGCUAACUACGUG
RNAcentral lists this ribosomal RNA (497 nucleotides) under uncultured bacterium. Its description in RNAcentral is "partial 16S ribosomal RNA". It matches the Rfam family "Bacterial small subunit ribosomal RNA", at positions 28 to 507 of the family's 1533-position model. The record is from RNAcentral.